GGUGAGUAACACGUGGGUAACCUGCCCAUCAGAAGGGGAUAACAUUUGGAAACAGGUGCUAAUACCGUAUAACAAUCGAAACCGCAUGGUUUUGAUUUGAAAGGCGCUUUCGGGUGUCGCUGAUGGAUGGACCCGCGGUGCAUUAGCUAGUUGGUGAGGUAACGGCUCACCAAGGCCACGAUGCAUAGCCGACCUGAGAGGGUGAUCGGCCACAUUGGGACCGAGACACGGCCCAAACUCCUACGGGAGGCAGCAGUAGGGAAUCUUCGGCAAUGGACGAAAGUCUGACCGAGCAACGCCGCGUGAGUGAAGAAGGUUUUCGGAUCGUAAAACUCUGUUGUUAGAGAAGAACAAGGAUGAGAGUAACUGUUCAUCCCUUGACGGUAUCUAACCAGAAAGCCACGGCUAACUACGUGCCANCAGCCGCGGUAAUACGUANGUGGCAAGCGUUGUCCGGAUUUAUUGGGCGUAAAGCGAGCGCAGGCGGUUUCUUAAGUCUGAUGUGAAAGCCCCCGGCUCAACCGGGGAGGGUCAUUGGAAACUGGGAGACUUGAGUGCAGAAGAGGAGAGUGGAAUUCCAUGUGUAGCGGUGAAAUGCGUANAUAUAUGGAGGAACACCAGUGGCGANNGCGGCUCUCUGGUCUGUACCUGACGCUGANGCUCGAAAGCGUGGGGAGCAAACAGGAUUAGAUACCCUGGUAGUCCACGCC
Molecule: ribosomal RNA, 710 nt
Filed under: uncultured bacterium
Lineage: Bacteria
Description: bacterial SSU rRNA
Rfam family: Bacterial small subunit ribosomal RNA
Source: RNAcentral